AAGCAACACUUGAAGUACCACACUACUCUUUACAUUCUUUCGUCUUCAUAUUUCAAAAGCUCUCUAAUAUUAAGCGAUGGCUGUGUCUCCAAUCCAGUCGGUGCUUGGAAUGUUGGGUAUUAUGUCCAUGCAACACCGUCAUGCUGGGGUGCAUAUCAGCUCAUUUUAUCCACCUGUUGCACAAGUUUGGAACUCGUGGUUUAAUUAAGUCCUUUACCGCUUCUGGAUGAAGACUGAAAGGAUGUGUUUGUGUUAUCCUUUUAAGUAAUGUUAAUAAGCAUGGCUUUGACUGAUCCACUAUCUCCACUGGAGUGUGUGUGUGUGAAUCUCAAUGCUAUGAGCAAAUAAACUGUGUCUUUAUGUACUUCUAUUUCAUGUGCUCGUAAUAAAUCAGUCUUUCGGCCAAACAGUUAUUAAAUAUCUUUGCUUAAAAAUUUUUGAACAAAUAAUUUGUUUCCUCAUCAAAAUAUUUGAAAUAUAUAUUAAUAUAUAUUUUAAUUCAAGACUUAAAAAUAAGUUGCCUAAAUACUUUAUUUGAAACAAUCGAAUUAAUUUUUAACAAGACACGAAACAUAACUCCAAAAAAGAACAGAAAGUGUAUGUAAUGGUGUUGCAGACUGAAUGCAUUUCUUGUUUUCAAUAUGAUUGGUUAGUCACAACAUGAUAAAAGGUUUUUUACGAUCAGUUGUGGUUUUAGGUUAAUUGAAUUUAUAAAAUAAUUGAUGCAUUUAUCUAUAAUUUGUAAUGUUUUUUAACAAUUCUGUAAAACAUGGUUCUUUCUUAUGAAAUUGCCAAAUUACUAAAUAAUAGUUUCAGUACCAAUAUUUUAUAAUAAGUCCUAAACAUUAUAAAAGUGGUUAUUUUUUUUAAACAAAAGCUAUGGACUUUGGUUGUUCACAUUUUCCAAUGUUUUCUAUUUUUUUAAAAAUUAUUAGAUUAGAGAAUAAUAGCUCCAAUUGCCUAUAUUUUUGUUAAAAGUAGUUAUUUUUUGUAAAAGGAUUAUUCACAAAAUAAGAGUUCAUAUUAUCAAUAUUUUGUAAUAUUAUCAAAGAUCUUGUAAAAAAUGCUUCUUUUUUUUUUAUUAAAGAGUUGUUUAUAGAAUAAUAGUUCUGAUUACUAAUAUUUUGUAAAAUUUUCUAAUCUUUUUGUAAAAAAUAUAUAUAUUUUUUGUAAAUUUAGGUAAAACUAAGUAAAUUGUUAAAUUUAUCCCGACUCAUGCGUUGAUAAAAGGUUGUCCUCCAUCCAUAUUUUUGAUAGGGUUUUAGAUAGGUUCCAUAAUUAUUUUUAUGCAGCACAAUGUAUAAAUUUAUCUCUGUAUUUAUAUGUACAAAAUAUGGUAGCACUUUUAAUUUUUGCCAGUGUUAGAACUUACGUAACGUGGGAGCAAUAUUAGAUGAAAAAAUAAUUUUUUAUAAAAUCAUUCAAAAAUAAUAAAAUUGUAUAAUAAAAUAAUCAUGAAAUGUAUUACAAAAUUGUAUCUCAUUGAGAUAUGUUAAAAGAAAGUUAAAAUGCUAAGAUGUGUUUUCUUAAGUAUCCUGCGAAGCUUUUUACCAAAGUAUGCAAUAAAAAAAACUAUGCAUGGUAUAAUCUAGGGGUGUCAAAAUGGGUUGGUUUGUCAGGUUCGACACCAAUUCACCUAACACGCAACAUAAUUACGGUCAACAUAAAUACUAUCAAUUUAAUAUUAUUUUAAAUUUAUCAACAUGAACACGAUACGAAAAUUAGGCAAGUGAUAGGAACACGAUAAAUUUAACCCAACUAAUAUUAUAAACAAGUUAAGUAGUUCGUGUUGACCCAUAUACAACCCGUGUAAUCCGCUUGAUAUCAUAAACAAGUUAAAGGUCCUUACUGUUCUUAUUUUUUAUUUUUUUAAUUUUGAAUAAUUGAUAAAACUUGUUGGUCCCUACUGUUCUUUUUCACACGUGGCAAUCUUAUAGGCUUACACUUGGCUUCUAUAUAAUGGAAACUGAUUUUCUUUUCUAUAUUAUAUAGAUAUAUAGAUUUUGAUAUAUUUGAUACUUUAAUUUAUAAAAUUAUAUCCAUACAAUAUUUCAGCUUUUAAAAAUUAUUUUAUUGAAAAAUCGAAUUCGUAAAAUUGAAUUGAUUAAAAUUUACUAGAUAGUUAAAAUAUAUGAAAAUUAUUGUUUCAAAAAUUAUGCUAAUAACACAUUAAGUAAACAUUUUGCACGUAAAUACCAAAAACAUUAAAAAAAAUUAAUAUAACUAAUAUUAAAAGGAAUAAAAUAUUAUUAAAAUUUGUAAUUUUAAGAAUAUAAUAGAUUUAUCACAAAGUUUAGAAUCUAACAGUAUAUCCCUAAAAUAUAGGGAUUAAUUUAUAUAUUUGGCAUUUUUCUCCACGUUUUAGUAAGUUUCUGCGAUCUUACUUUCAUGACCACAAUCACACAAGCACAAGAAGCCAAGAAACCAUUAUUCGUAAGAUGCAAGACAAAGCUUUUUCUUCUUCAUAAAAAUGGACACAUAGCACAAUCAGUGUCAGCAAUUUGGGAAAGGAUGACACAAUAAAUUAUAAUUAUCACUCGCCAUCAGCUUUCUAUUAUUUGCGGGACAAGAGUAAGUGCACUUACCAACAGAAGACAAUGUUAAGGUUGAGGAGAAGGGUAGUGCAGUGGAUAUUCUUGCUUUUGCUAUAAUUUCUAUGUUUUGUUUAGGCUAAUUCAUAGCUACAGAAAUUAUCAUCUUAUCUAAAGUUUUUAUUUUUAUAUGUAUGUUGAGAUUUUUCAGAUUUUUUUCAUUUAGAGCAAGCUAGUAUGAGUGUAAAUGAGAAGUGUUUGUGGCUGAGUAUAAUUUUUUGAAUAAGCUAAAUUUUUCUGAAUUUAAAAUAAUAAAAUAAAUUUAUUUUGCCGAUUAAAAAAAUUAAAAUUAUAUGUAGUGGUUGUGGAUAUCCAACCUUUUUCUUUUUGUUUGAUGAGAUCCUGAUAAGUAUUUCUUUCAAAAAUUAUUUGGAUUCUGCAAUCUUCUGUCACAUGUAUUUGUCUUGCAAACCGUAAAAUUUUGAAUUUUCAGUAUUGGUUGCUAUACAUUUAUGAAAAUAUAUUUUCCUUUUUCAAAAGAAAAAAAAAUCUUAUACAAGUAUAACAACAAUCAUUAUCUAUCACUUGAAUCACUUGCAUCCAAACAUCAUUUGAUACUUUGUUAAAGUUGUCUACUUGGUACAACUUAAUUCUUUACCCGACGGCCGUUAAACAACACAUCAAGUAUUUUAUUCUAAGUUGAACAAAAAUGCCGGCUCUGUGUGUUUAUAUAUAUAUAUAUAUAUAUAUAUAUAAUUAAUAAUAAUAAAAAAAAUUCCUCCUUACAUUUCAUGUUUUUAUAUUUGGCCAUGCUUUAAUCUAUCAAUCAGUAUUUGUAACAUGUUUGGCCAUGCUUUAACCUAUCAAUAUCAAUAUCCAUUAUUGCUUUAUGUUCGAUGAGAUUUUAAUAAUUAAGUAUUUCUCUCACCAAUUAUUUGGAUUCUGUAAUCUUGUGUGACACAGUGACUUGCUAAUUGUUUAUGACUUGAUCCAUUCAUUUAUUAGAAGGAACCUAAUCGGCAUUAGUGCAAGAUUAACAUUAUUUCUGCUUACAAUUAAAAUGGCCAACCAAAUAUACGCUGAUAGAGUGUACCGUCUUUAGAAAACAAAUUGAUUAGUGUAUUUUUAAUAUAGUUUUUAUUAGGAUUUUUAGUAUUUUUAAUUAUUUUAAUUAGUUUCUAUUUAAUUUAUUUAUGUUUUUUUUCAAAGUUUCAUUGAAUCAUAUUUCACUUGAUUUUAAGAAAUUUUAUAGGAUUUUGAUAUAGAAAAGAGCAAAGUGAAAUAAAACUCUCAAAGGCUGGCACGUCUUAGGCGUUCAACUCAACACCCCAGUGCGGGAUUGAAGAGAAAUUAACAUAGAGACUCAGAGCGUAGCAUGCCCAAGCCGUGUAUUAAAAUUGUUUAGAUACGGCAGAGAUCUCUCCUUAUAUAAACUUAUUAAAGCUUUUUUAAGUCUAAUUAGGAAAACCACUUAAUUUGCAGAGGAAGAAAUCUAAUCACAAAAGAAAACGAUUAAGUCUUGUAUUUCUUCUGAAAUUAAGAGUCCAAUUGACCAAUUAGAAUUAGAACUCAAAUUAGGUAAUUAUCUUUGCGGUUCCCUUUUUUUUAACUUGAUAUUUAGCAAAUUUCUAAUUCUCUAUAAAAACCUUCUAGAACGAAAUCAAAAUAAUAAAGGAAGCAAAAAUUAAUAAUUAAAUAAAAUAUAAAUAAAACUAAAUAAAGACUAUCUAAAAUAAAUAAAAUACUACUCCCUCAGUUCUAAAAAAAUAAUCUCACUUUUUAUAAUGAAUGCCCCAAAAUAAUAGUGUCAUUUCUAUUUCGGAAAUAGGUUUUUGUUAACUUUCUUAUAUUCUGCCAACAAUUAAUAUAAGUAGACUUACAAAAUAUUCAGUCAAAAUAUAAAUAUAAAAUAAUAUAAAUUAAUUGAAACAUGUGCGGAGAUAUUAAUUUUUUUUACUGAAAAACUCUAUAAACAUUAAUCAAAAAAAUUUUAAUAUAAGGGUAUAAAUGAAAAAGAAGGAUAACUGAUAUAUUUAAACUAAUUUAACUAUUCAUUCUUAAUUUGUAUGAAAAAAGAGUGAGACUAUUUUUUUGUGACGGACAAGUAGAAAUUAUAAUAAAAAUUAUAUUAUAAAAAUUAUAAAAAAUAAACCUAUCACCUCUUUACAUUUCAUGUUUUUAAGAUAAAAAUAUUGAUGGGUUAUAUUUAUUUUGAAAUGUGAUUUUAUUAUAUAAAAUAGUGUUGAUGUUCGGAUUGCUGAAUGAUAAAUUGUGGCGGACUAUAUUAUAUGAUGUUUGAAUACUUGUUGCUCAUACAUUUGUUAUUCACAAAGGGUAUUUCAAUCUUCUUUUAAACUAGUUUUUUUUUUUUUACAACGUGCAUUGUAAGUUGAUCAUUUUCUUUAUAUAUUUAUUUUUUUAUCUAUAUAAUAUCAAAGUAUGAGUUUUGUUUAGAUUAAAAUAAAUAUAAAUGGUUAAUUUGUAUCUACAAACUACUUGUAAUGAAGUGGUCUCAAAACAAAAUUCAACCCAAUCUUUAGACCCACUUCUUUAGUUUCUAAUUUAUAAAUGCUGAUUUUUAAAAUCCUAAUAGGUGCCCAAAAAGAAAAUCAAAUCAUUACUCAAUCUUCAACCUCUGUCCUCAAUCUCAAAUCAAUAUUUAUAUACAACUAUAAUUAAAAAUAAUAAUAAAUUAUUUUUAUUGCUAGAUAAAAGAAAAGAAUUGAGAGGAUGAUCUGAAUUAAUAAUGAAAACUACUUUGGUUACAGUGGUAAUAUUAUUUACCCAGUAUAUUAAAGAAAUGAAUAUAUGCGCAUAUAAACAAAUACUGGAAACCCCCAAAUGUGACCCACACAGAACUAUAUAGUUCUAGUUUUAUUUCAGUUUUGUGGUUUGUUUUGCGAAUUCAUAACUUAAGAUUAUUAACUUAUGAAAACCCCUCGUGAGUCAAAUCAUAUAGUUUCGACAUCAAGUUAUUAUUCUCAUGUAAUUUGUUACCUUUUUCAUAUGAAAAACUCUUUUUCCGAUAGUGAUUAAUGAAAUAAAUCAAUCCAGGGGAAAAAUUCUGCCUCAAAGCAUUAAGUUCAAUAAUAAAUUAUACUUUGAACAAAGAAAAACAAAUCUAAUAUUAUAAAUUGGAAAAGAAUUCAAGCUACAUCAAAUCCCUAGGAUGAAGAUUUAGUUCGACAUAGUAAUUAAAUAAAACCCAAUAAUACUUGAACAAAAUUUCAUAAUAAGUGUGAAUAAUGAAAAGUAAAACAAGAUUAAGAGUUUAGAAAUAAAAACUAGGCAACAUAUAACGAGACGGCUUCCUUGAAUUUUUGCACGAAUCUUGAAUGCUUGAAGUCUUUGAGAGGGAAAAGAAACAGUCGAACAGAAAUUGUCAAAGACCAGAGAUGCCUCUAUAAUAAAUGGCCCCUCUCUUUAUAUAGACUUCUUGGGAGAAAAUUUGACUCUGUUUAGGAAAUAGACUCCUUAUUAAGUAAGAGAUCUUUUUGGAGAUAUGAAACUAUUUAGGCUUUAGAUUUCUUCUCAAUUAGGACUUUUUCCAUCUUCCUAAAUAGGAUUAGAACUUGUUUUGCACAUAAGAAAAAAUCAGAGGUGGGCCCAUGUAAGUUAUAGAAACUGGCUGGCGUUCUCAAUUUAGGACAUAAUCAAAUUUGUAGCAUGGGCGUGCUGUUUUGCACUGUCUGGGCGUGCCAGAGCCUGAGUUCCUUGGUUGGUUCAGCACGGGCCGUGCUGCGCAAUACGUCCAGAGAAAAUUCUACGGCACAUGCAUGCCCCAUAGCACGGGUAGGGCAUGAUAGGCUUUGACUUUCCAGGAUGAAAUGCAUCAUAGCUUAAGCACCCCCUGAGGUCUUCUUAGGCACGGGCGUGCUAAUGUGCACAGGCAGGGCCUGCUAGGGCUUGAAUGUUUUGCUUUAAUUUGCUCUUUUCUGUGUCAAAAUUCUGUAAAUUUCUUUAAAAUUAAGUGGAUUAUGAUUCAAUGAAACUUUGAACAAAAACAUAGAUAAAACUAAAUAAAAAUUAAUUAAAGUAAUUAAAAUUACUAAAAUUCCUAAUAAGAACUAUAUUAAAAAUACUAUAAAAAUAGCACCUAUCAUCUUCAAUAAUGUUAACUUCCCUUAUCUUUUUUUUUUUUUUUUCCAAAUGACCCUUAUCUUAUUAAUUUGAUUUAUAAUAAUUUAUAAUAGCAAUUUCUUUUAUUCACAGUUAUUUUUCAUAUUUUUAAGAGAAUCUUAUAUGAAUCGGAGUGUAAUUAUAAUUUUUGUAGUUAUAUUUUUCAUAUUUCUUUUAUUCACAGUUAUAUAUAUAUAGAUUUUGUAGUUAGUAGUAAACCCUAAACCUCUAUUUCUAGUCUGCUUCACCAGUUAUCUAGGUCAACACUAUGUCCGGCCGAUUUUAUUGCAUUGGUUCCAUGUCUUGUCAGGCUGGUGGCCUUGCCGACAACUUAAUUUGUAUACAAAAGUACCCAUAUUCUUAUGAAUUUUUUCUAGUGAAAUUUAAUAGUGCCGAUGAUAAAUUGGAUUUUAGGUAUGACAACGUGAUAAUAAUUCAGUAACAAUAGGAUAAAUAAGCUCAUUAUUAUCAAUAAUCAAUCAAAUUAUUCUACCUGUUAUUUAAUACCUCUUAAAUAAGCCGUUGUUGCUUGAUAUGAAAAAUAAAUUCUGAUUGAAAGCGUGAGACCUAACAUAAUAGGUUAAUAUCCAUAUAAUAUAAGAAAGCAGGCCGAGCCGGAUAUCUUGGCUUCAAUGAGUUUAUCACUGCUAUGCAAGUUUUAAUUUAGUACUUUUUCUGAAGUUUAUUAUUAUUAAAUUAAUUGUUAUUUACUGAUUAACUGAUGCUUUGAAGGGUAGUUAGUUUCUUUAGCGCAAGCAGGACAUGAAAUAACUCAUGAUCUCUUUUUUAUUGCACGUGCGCAUAAAUAAAUUAAAACAACCUUUAGCCCCAGCCAGGUGGCCAGGUAUGUUUAUAAAUUAUUGUCAGGUAUACCUAUUGUCUCAUUGAAACUCUAUUAUCACUUGAGUACAAAAACGACACGACUUCACUAUUGACUCAAACAACACAACAUAAUGAUAAGUAAGUUUUUAGGUUAUACCGUGUUUAGUUAGAGAUAAUGCAAUAUAAUGUAAUUAAAUAUAUAAUAUAAUAAAAAAUAUAAUUAAUGAAAUAGAAUAAAUUAAGAUUUUAUUAUUAUAUUUAAUAAUGUAAUUGAGAAAAUUUAUAUAAUAUAAUUACAAUUUUAUUUUUAUGUUAGUUUGUUAAUACCUAAUAUAAUUAGCGCACCUACGAGUGGCACAAGGCUGCCUAUUUGAGGUUACAUUGCUGCAACUUUGUAGGAGCGGAUUCCAUGGUUGCAACCUGUUGCGUAUUUUAUUUUAUUUAAGAUAUUAUAGGGGUUAAUUUUAGGAGGUUAAGCGAUGUAAUAAUGCACCCUACUAAUAGAUAAAUUUAUUUAAAUAUGAUUAUGAGAAACGUGAAAAAGAAAAACAAAACAAAGCCUUCAAAUAAAAAUUUUCUACAUUUUCUUUUUGAGGAAAAUAAAUAUAAAAGGUAAAUAGAAUGGUAUAAAACACAGCCUCUUAAGUUUUUGUUUACCUGACAAAUUUAAAUGCGGAGGUAUUAUCUAACAAUAAUUAAGAGGUAUGUCUUAGAGUGGGAUCCAAAGAUGAAAAUCGUAUACUAAAGGAGCCAGCUACUCUUCCAAGAAGAGCUGAAAGAGUGUCUUCAGUUGGAGACAAUAAUAUUGAGAUUCUAAAAAAAUUGGGUCCAAUUACUACUCUUUUAGCCACAUUGGUGGAAAAGAUAGAUAAAAACAUUGAGCAAAUAAAAAAAAAUAGUGCACAAAUUGAAGAGUUUUAGUCUUUUGUUGCUGAUUUGAGGCACUUUCACCAAGAAAUGGGUCAGUAUUUUGAGAUUUUUGAAACAUCUACCGAAGAAAAAAGUUGUCAAAAAAGUAAAGAUGCACUUGAAGGUAGUGAUCAUCAAGUACUCGUAGACUCAGAUGUGACCCAACCUCCUACACAAGAACCAUAAACAAAAUGGAAAUUUGUUAACUUUCAAGAUCUUUUUGCAAGUGAUGAGAUAGAUGACCCAGUAAGAAAAAUUAUGGAGGGCAUACUUGAUGCUAUUAAUGUUGAUCUAGGUAAGAAUGAUGAUAAUAAAUAGGUUAAUGUGGAUUUAUUGGUAGUAAUUCUGCACUUUCUGAUUAUUUUUUAUUUUUUUGUAAGUCACUUUGUGUCCUUUUGUUUUUAGUAUUUGUGCACUUUUCAAUAGUUUUUGGUUUCUCUAUGUUAGUUAACGGUUGUAAACUUUUGUAAGCUAUUUUAUAGCCUUUUAAUUAUUAAUUGUGCCACUUCUAUAAGCCAUUUUGUGUCCAUAUUUUUAGUACUUCUGCACUUUUUCAAUGAUUUUUUUCUGUGUAGUUAACGGUUCUAAACUUCUGUAAGCCACUUUGUGGCCUUUUAAUUAUUAGUUGUACACUUUUGUAAGUCAUUUUGUGGCCAUGUUUUUUGUACUUGUACACUUUUUCAAUGGUUUUUUAGUUAACGAUUCUGAACUUCUGUAAGCUACUUUAUGCCAUUUAAUUAUUAGUUGUGCACUUUUACAAUAGUUUUUUUUUUUUUUAGUUAACGGUUCUAACCUUUUGUAAGCUACUUUGUGGUCUUUUAAUUAAUAAUUGUGCACUUCUGUAAGCUAUUUUGUGGCUAUAUUUUUAGUACUUGUGCACCUGUUCAAUUGUUUUUUUUUUCUCUAUGGUAGUUAAUAGUUUUGAACUUCUGUAAGCCACUUUAUCGCUUUUUAAUUAUUAGUUGUGCACUUUUAUAAGCCAUUCUGUGGCCUUGUCAUUCUUAGUUGUGAACUUUUUCAAUUUCUUAUAAUGGUUAUACUCUUUCGUAAACCACAAUGUUGCCUUAUUAUUAUUAGUUGUACACUUUUCAAAAUGUAAAGUAGUCACACAUUUUGCUAGAGUGCACUUUUUAAAAAAAUUGUGCCUUCAAACUCACCCUAAAACUCGAAUUUUAGGGGAUCACUCAUAUUGUAGACAACCAUAGCCAUUUCUGCUUUAUUAUGUACAGGAUUCAAGUCUAGAGGAUGCAAAGUAAUGGUCAUUUUUGGAUAUUGUAUGACCUAUAUGGAUGUUUUCGAGAGGUAAAUAGAUUUUCCUUGAAUCAGAUCAUCAACUGUAAUUCCAUUUACAUGUGGCCAAUGUUUAGAAGUCGAAGAGUUUGAUUGUAAGCUCAAAAAAUUUGGCUCCAAAUUCUUUUUCAUUUUGGCCGCAAUGUAUUGCAUUUGGGCACUACUUUCUGAAUUUUAUUUAAAUUUGGAGAAAUCAAAUUUUGACUUUUAAUUUUGAAUUUAAAUUGAAAAAUUAUUCAAGUUUAAACAACUAAGAGCCAAAAUUUAAGUUUUCUCUCCUUUAUUUUCGCGUAAAUUUUGGAAAUUUGUUGCAUUCAAUGAAUAAGUUUGAAAAAUUUCCAUUCAUUUCUCAAUCAUGUCAUUACACAAGUAACACAACCCAAAAGGCAUGCGCCUAUUGGGAAAUGUGACAUAAGGACACGUGAAGGUUGCUUUUUCUUGAUCCGUAGGGGCUAUAGGGAUCUGGAAAUAACCAAAUAAUCCAUCUAAAAAGCAAUAAAAUCUAUUCCCUACUAGCCUUUGUAACAUCUGAAUAAUAAAAGGUAAGGGAAAGUGAUCCUUCCCAGUGGUUGAUUUAAGUUUCUAUAGUCGAUGCAUACUCUCCAUCCAGUCACUGUCCUAGUGGGAAUUAAUUCAUUAUUCACAUUUUUUACUGCAGUUGUAACAUCCUACUGAAUCGAAUCGUUGCAUAGAGUCGAGUCGAGUUGGGCCGAACAAGAACCCGGUUCGAGCCAUUUAAAUCCAGAGUGGGGUAGAAUGGGAUGUAACUUAAAUAAGUAAAAGAAGUGGACUUACUUGAAUGAAACAAAAAGAUCAAAGUAUAAGGAGUAGGACUUACUUGCACAGCAGUCAUCCCCCUUUCUUAGGAACUACCUGAACUGGACUCACCCAUGCACUAUCAGAAAUUGGAUAAAUAAUACCUGCUUCAAGUAGCUUUAUCACUUCCUUCUUUUCUACCCCUUGCAUAGCCGGAUUCAACCUCCUUCUACCCCUUGCACAGCCGGAUUCAACCUCCUUUGUGGUCGAAUAGUGGGCUUGUAAUCAUCUUCCAUUAAAAUCUUAUGCAUACAUCAUCUUCCAUUACUAAAGACUCUGUGAGACUCAAAGAAUAUAUCAUGAAUACAUCAUGCAAUACUAGCAGCCUAUAAAUGUUUCCCUACAAGCCCAAACAAAAUACGCAAGCCAGCUGUUAGACUUCAGAAAAUGUAAAAAAUGAAAAAACUGACAAAUACAAAUACCAGAGUUUCUAAGCUACAUGAAGACAAGCAAAAAAUAGUUGAACUGAUACGGAUCGAAUCAAAGAAUGAGAUGUAAGUUCGCCUCUAUGGCACCCCUCGUUUAUAAUGAAACGGAAACACCAAUAAUCGAGAUUAAACGCUCAAGGAAACGGUAACACCAAUAAUCAAGCAAAGAACAAGAUAAACGCCACAAAGAGUUGAUAAGUUUACCUUAAUUCUUGAUGCAAUUAGAGGAAGCAAUCUCUCACUAUCACUCUAAGCAAAGGAGUACAAGCUUGAACAAAUGAAGUUUAUCAAAAAUCAAAAGUUCCGUCCUUACAUGGAAGACAAGUUAUUUAUACUAAAUAAGGAAUCUAGGUUUAACAAAGCAUAAAACACACAAAACACGCCUAAGACACCCCAAGCCUUUAAGUCGAUGUCACUGUAGCGAGUCAAAUUUACUGUAGCAAGUCAAACUAAUUGAAACGGGCACUGUAGCAGGCGUGCUUUCCUCCACUGUAGCAGGCGUGCUUUCCUCCACUGUAGCACUGUAGCAGCGUGCUUUCCUCCACUUAAUAUGCCACCAACAACAUUAAAAGCCUAGGAAUGCCUUCAAGUUCCUCACAACACUUGUUGAAUGCGACAUCAUGAAGUUCUUGUGUUAUUUGGGCUUGAACAAAUAAUGAUAUGGCUGCCCCAUAUCGCUUGGCACGGCUCCUUGUAAUCGGUCCAAUAGGAAGCACCAAUGGAUCUCCUUCGUCGUUCACCAUGCCUCCUUGCGAUCCAGUGACGAGUGAUGAUGGAUCCGUAUCAUGAACAACCCCUUUUCUCUUAAGUGAAAUAUUUUAAUCAAAUCAACUCCAGGGAAUUCCUCAAGAUGACAUCAAGAAGUAGUCUCACGACAAAUCACUGCUUUCUUCUAAUGCCCAAACCCCAAUCAUUGUUACAUACCAACAAUGCCAACAAUUAAAUAUCAAAUCCCUCCCAACUCGGAAGCACCUAUAUAGAUAGCCAAAGGAGUGGUAUCUAUGUCACCUUUUCCCUUCAUAAUAUGCACACACACACUAACUAAUAGGUGCCUUAGAAAAGAAAGUUGAAUAAUAGUUCAUGGCAAGGACAUGAGUGCACACUAAUUCAGUGUUAAAGGUAAUAAAUGUUGAGAAGACUGAACUGAUUGAAGGACAAGAAGAAACUUCUAGCAUCUAGAAUAAGCCUUAUUAGACCAAGUUAUCAAGCUAUAAAGGACACUAGAGUGUCUUUGAUGAAGCUGAGCGGCUACAGAUUAUAAAACUGUAAAGGCCUCAUUCCUGGAUUUGCAGAGGUUUGGGUCACAAAUAAAUCAAGAAUCGACUAAAACUUGUCAUUUCCAAUUUAUCAGGCAGUUGGCACUAACAUAUUGCUCAUAUAGUCAGUAAACUUAAGCAUGAAUUAAACAUCUAAAGAAAACUCAGGCCUAAAUGCAGUACAAGCAAAUAAUUGAAUUGAUUUGGCAAGUUGAUCCAAGAUCUUCUUUACCAAGUUAAAGAAAAAAAGACCAGGAGAAACAAGAAUAAAUAUUCACAACAAAUUCAAGCCAGAAUAUCUACAUUAAAUUAAUAAGAAAACAACAACUUGCAACAUAAAAGUACCUGUAAAGCAUCUUGUUUGGGUGAAGAGGAUAACACCAUUGUGAGAAGUUCAAUGCUAUUUCUUGCCACAUCAAAUGCUUCCUUAGUUUGUUCAGCUGUAAAGCUUACCACGGGCAUAUCAUGCUGAAUCUGCUAAGCAAGAUUUGCAUCCACUUCCGGUGGUGAAACUGUACGAGGAGGGGUAAAGAUACGUGCCAAACUCUCAUUGUCACGACCAGGGAACCGGAUACCCCUUGAUCUUAAACUCUAUAAUAGCAAAGGAAAAUGCCCAAAAUAGGGGGAUAAAUGAGAGGAGAGUUCAAGAAGCCAUGACUUGGUGUUAGCCAAGAAUAGCCAAAUUUGAAACUAAGAUCUAAAACAGCAUUAUAUCAUAAACGAACACACAACAUCCUUGUGCAACUCAAACUAAGAUCUAAAACAGCAUCUAAAACAGCAUUAUAUCAUAAUUCAUUUUGUUUCAUAAUAAAUUAGGAAAUAAAUUAUCUAAUAGUCUUGGUAUUUGUAUCACUACAUGUAUCCAUGGAUUUUAACUGUAAAUCCAAAUUCAAAUAGGAAUAAAUAAAUGUUUAGAAUUAACUUUCUAUCAUUUUGCUGUCCAAUCUUUUGUCUCUGCAACGUAGAAAACAGGCAAAUGGUAGAGUAAACUUUUAAAUAGCAUAAAUAACAAAAGAUUAUAAUUUCACAAGUCAAAGCCAUG
This 13213-nucleotide long non-coding RNA is filed under the name Jatropha curcas. RNAcentral's name for it is "long non-coding RNA (JCUR_LNC002598)". The record is from RNAcentral. Lineage: Eukaryota; Viridiplantae; Streptophyta; Magnoliopsida; Malpighiales; Euphorbiaceae.